This 772-nucleotide ribosomal RNA is filed under the name Triticum aestivum (bread wheat). RNAcentral describes it as "partial small subunit ribosomal RNA". Lineage: Eukaryota; Viridiplantae; Streptophyta; Magnoliopsida; Poales; Poaceae. The record is from RNAcentral.
CCGCUGCCCGGCCGCGCCGCGCUCCCGCGCUCAGCCGCGGCCCCCUGGCUUCAUGCCCGUGGCGUUCGCAGUACACGCUGACGCCAACGCGGGCUGGAGCAGGCUCGCGGAGAGGCUUUACGGCCGCACCAUGGCCGUCAUCGACCGCUGCGCCGGGACUUGAGCACCGUCCAGCCGGACGACGUCGUCAUAAUCGACGACGACGACGAAACCGCGGCGCUGUCGUCUCCAAACCCUGCGGUUGUUGAAGCUGAAGCCAGUGAUGUGGUUGUCGAAGCGGACACUGUCGGCCGUCGCGCCUGCCGUCCCCGAUGCCCGCCACUCCUCCGCCUGCGCCACGCUCCGGCGCCCGCCGCCGUCUUAUCGGCCUUCUCCUAACGACCUCGCCGUCGAGCAGCCGCUCCGGCGCACUGGUACAUGGAGCCCCUAGAGCGAGAGGAUUUCUAUGGUAGUCUCCGUGAGUGAGGGAUCCAGCGCUGGAGAUUUCAUCUCUAGUGGGGACUUGUUUCCUUAUCUCUUCGGUUGACCAGACCGUGGGCUGCCACACAUGCCUUCACGUGGCAUACGCGCAUGUGGCUGGUAAUUAAGCCAUGGCCCACGAACGGCUAAAACAUGCCCUCUAGCACAUUUCAGCUUUUAGUUCAUUUGUGCUUUAACAGUAUUUUUAAGCGAUGGUUAGUUCCCACUUUAAACUGUUAAAAUCAGUACAUCUAGUACUGUCUUUUGUUGAAUAUCAACGUAUUCCAGAUCCUAAAUUGAUGUUAUAUAUCUU